ACGGUCACGUUACAAAAUUAGCUCUUUAAUUAUUAUUAUAAUUAUUUUUCCUCGGUCUCCAUUUAAAUUCUCUAAUUUCUCGUAUAGGACUACUGGGGUGACGUCAUACCUCGGUGAUGGAACGUACUCCACCUAUCGAGAAUGAUUUCGUUUUCUGAGAGAGUUUGACGUUUACCUUGGCGGAGAAGCGCCUCUCGUUCUUUACUUGACUGUUGGCUGUUGUGUCGAAUAGAGGUACCAUAUAGAAUGGCGGAUGAUUUCAUCCAACUUAUUUUAUAACAUCAAGCAAUUUAAAGUAAAGUAAAAAGUUACCACCAAGGAUUGUCUGGAGUGAGGAGACAUGUGGGUGACAACUCCUGUUGGAGUCUAAAUAGGAAUCAUUCGCCAUUUGGGAGAAACCCUACCAUGAAGUCAUAGACCUUAUUUGACCACCUAGAGAAACCACUACAGCCACAGUCAAGUCAUCAUGGGAGUAUGUCUAAUUGGGAGCAAGCUAUGGGAGCGUUCCAGCUCAGUUUUCGUCUUGGCACCUGGGCCUACAGGAGUCAUGGGUCGCACCAUCCUGGUGCAUCAUUUUCUAGGAUGCAACCGCAACCUUUUUAGGAAUCAUUGGGAUUCGUUUGGAAACAAUUAGUGUGUUUUAGUAACUAUUGGUUUUUUUUUACAUUUCAGACUCUCGGUUUAAUGCGCUAUGUUAAUUAAUUUUUUUUCCAGAUUUAGUUUACCUCUGGUUUUUUUUUAAUAUGACAUAUUUGUAUAUUAGACUAUUUGGUUCCCAAACUUUGUAUCUACGGUAACUUCUUGUGCACAGGAAUAAGCCUAGAGAAAAUUAGGUUUUUAAUACUUUAUUAUUGCUUUGAUAUUGGUUUAUGUAAUUCGGGUAAAUUUAUUUUUUAAUAUUACUAGCUUGUUUCCCAAAUAUUUUACUGUUAUUCGCUUUAUUCCAUUUGUUCGGUUAAUUUAGGUCAUCGUCGGUAUUUAUCUCAACUUCAUUUCUACUUUAGUCAAUUGUAUAUUUAACUUUAAUUAUUCAUUAUUGUAUUUUCCCUUAUUGAGGCUUGGGCCUAUUUAUUUGUAGUAUUUUCAUCUUUGUCAGUUUCAUUUAGUUGUACGUAGCAGGCGUACUAUAACCAUUUGGUAGAAGACUUAUGUAAUUUUGUACCCUAUAUGUUAGUGAGAGGUACUUAUACCUGUAAUUUUGUAACAGAUAACAUUAUUGUUGUUAUCUUAGAGAUAACUUUUUGUAUAACUUAUGUCAUUUUAGAGUCACAUGAUAUACACUUUGUGUAACUCAGAGAUUGUCAAAAAUCUAGUAGUUAUUUUUAAUAAAUAUGUAUUUAUUUUGUA
Long non-coding RNA from Diabrotica virgifera virgifera (western corn rootworm), 1347 nucleotides. RefSeq lists it as uncharacterized. The transcript is spliced from 2 exons. The record is from RefSeq and is a predicted model, not a curated record. NCBI's taxonomy places the organism in Eukaryota, Metazoa, Arthropoda, Insecta, Coleoptera, Chrysomelidae.